GCGCGAAACCUUCGCAAUGCGCGAAAGCGCGACGAGGUUACUCCGAGUGUUACCCGCUGAGGGUAACUUUUGCUGGGUAUAAAUAACCUAGAGAAUAAGGGGAGGGCAAGUCUGGUGUCAGCCGCCGCGGUAAUACCAGCUCCCCGAGUGGUCGGGACGUUUAUUGGGCCUAAAGCAUCCGUAGCCGGUCUUGUAGGUCUUUUGUUAAAUCCAACGGCUCAACCGUUGGGCUGCAGGAGAUACCGCAGGACUAGGAGGCGGUAGAGGUGGAUGGUACUCAAUGUGUAGGGGUAAAAUCCUUUGAUCCAUUGAAGACCACCAGUGGCGAAGGCGGUCCACCAGAACGCGCUCGACGGUGAGGGAUGAAAGCUGGGGGAGCGAACCGGAUUAGAUACCCGGGUAGUCCCAGCUGUAAACGAUGCGAGCUAGGUGAUGGGGUGGCUACGAGCCAUCCCGGUGCCCCAGGGAACGCCGUUAAGCUCGCCGCCUGGGAACGUACGGCCGCAAGGCUGAAACUUAAAGGAAUUGGCGGGGGAGCCGACACGGAA
Molecule: ribosomal RNA, 548 nt
Filed under: uncultured Nitrososphaerota archaeon
Lineage: Archaea; Thermoproteati; Nitrososphaerota
Description: bacterial SSU rRNA
Rfam family: Archaeal small subunit ribosomal RNA
Source: RNAcentral